CAUUAGCCGCGGUAAUACGGAGGGUGCAAGCGUUAAUCGGAAUUACUGGGCGUAAAGCGUGCGUAGGCGGUUCGUUAAGUCUGUUGUGAAAGCCCCGGGCUCAACCUGGGAACUGCAUUUGUGACUGGCAAGCUAGAGUGUGGCAGAGGGGGGUGGAAUUCCGCGUGUAGCAGUGAAAUGCGUAGAUAUGCGGAGGAACACCGAUGGCGAAGGCAGCCCCCUGGGCCAACACUGACGCUCAUGCACGAAAGCGUGGGGAGCAAACAGGAUUAGAUACCCCCGUAGUCCCUGUCUCUUAUAC
This 301-nucleotide ribosomal RNA is filed under the name uncultured bacterium. Its description in RNAcentral is "partial 16S ribosomal RNA". It matches the Rfam family "Bacterial small subunit ribosomal RNA", at positions 509 to 807 of the family's 1533-position model. The record is from RNAcentral.